This 3713-nucleotide long non-coding RNA is filed under the name Marmota monax (woodchuck). The record is from RNAcentral. Lineage: Eukaryota; Metazoa; Chordata; Mammalia; Rodentia; Sciuridae.
UCUGGGGCUGGAUCUAAGGCAGAGGGGGUGUGGAGAGGGAGGCUGCGGGGCCAGAAACGCAAGGCUUGGCAGGGCUUGGUGACAGAUUGGUCGUAGGAAGAAAGGACGAGGGAAAGAUCGAGGGUGAUUGAUUCUUGGUUCUUAGCCUGAGCAGCAGGACUGACGGUGAUGAUCUAAGUGAAGACUGAGGAGGGAAGGAAGAAUUGUCAGUGUCUCUGGAACACAUGCAGAGAUACCUGGGAGGCAGCUGAAUGGAAGGGUGUGCUGCUCAGAAGACAGAAGAGAGACCCAGCCAGACAACCGAGGUUCUGGGGAUAGAUCAAGCCUGGAGAUGACGGCAGAAGCCCAUUGGAGUAACUGAGAGCACCCAGGUGAGGGGACCCGAGCCAGAAAUGUAAGGAAGGUGAAUAUUCACAUCCCACACAUCCCACAUCCCUUCCUCCUCAUUAGUUUGUCAACUACUCACAGACUAGAAUCAUGUCUUCACCAUUUUUAUUCUUUACAGUGCCUUCAUUGAUCAAGCUCUCAGAGUGUCUCCAGCCCACAGAGUAAUGACCCAUUUAGAGAUCUUCCUAGAAGCCCAGCUGUACUCUGCAGUGUCUAUCUACCACCACAUUAUAAUUUGGAAGAUGUUGUCCUUAGGGUCCCCAAACUAUCCAUGACAAGAUCGCUACCCAUUGGCAUUGCUGUGUAUGGGGAGAGGGCUGGUGGUUUUCUAUCAGACACACUUGGAGGAGGCUCCAACAUCUCUUGCCGGCCGGGGUGCACAGCUGGAGAGUUAGGAUAAAGUCGGGAGGAUGAGAUGACAGAAUAGCUCACACAAUUUCUUGUCAUCUCCCUCAUCCACAGGAAUGGUAGCUUUGGGUUCUCAAACAGAGGCAUAGACACAAUUGCCACAAGUAUCAUGCGACAUAAAUACAAAUGAGAGUGCACUAGAGGAAAAUGUAUAAGGGUGAGAAGGCCACAAUAGUGCCACAUUCUGCAUAUUUAUAAAGGUGGUGGGGGGAUUAUAUAAAUUAGAAACUUGCUGGAAGCCAAGUAACUUCAUUAGACUCCAGAGAUAAGUGCCUAUUUGCUUUGGUCUCUGUUCCUGCUAGCACCCUGGAAGGGGUGGGGGGAGGGACCUCCAGGGCCAUCCCUCACUCACAUCCCUCCAACAGUGCUCAGCACAUAGCAGGUGUUGAAAAGUAGUUGUUUCAUAUCUCUGGUUGUAUACAUAGUAUACUCACACCAAUUUGUGUCCUAGAACAAUCAUCACAUUCAACCAUCAUUAAUUACCCCAUGCCCCCUCCAUUCCCCUCCAACCCCUCUGCCCUAUCAUUCCAUGUUAUAUAUAAUUUUUUAAAAAAUCAAAUAGUUGUUGAAUAAACACUAUUCUCAAAUGUGUGCCACACAGCCCCUGGCACAUAGGGAGAUAGAACCUAGUGCUCAACAAGGGAUUCUUGCUCCUGCCUUCCAGGUGCUUGUAAGACUCAUUCUAAGUUUGAAUAGUAGGCCUCUGUUUCACCUUCCUGACAUACACUCUAGACCUGAUCCUCCUUAAAGACACUAAUACCUUGAGUUUCCGCCUUUCAUCCCUUCCAGUCACAUUUGCUGGAUCCUGUGUCUCACCCUUUAGUCUUCCACUUCCUGCAGGACAAUAACAUUUUGCAAUAACCUACUGAGAUAGGGACACCUGCUACCCUUUUUUAGCUAAGAGACUCUGGAAGUUAGCAUCUUACUCAAAGCCUUGGAGUGAUAAGUGAGUGUGACCCCUCUGCUGCUGUCUCCCAUGUAAGUCCAUGAUCCUUGGACAAUCAUCUUUCAUCAGGUCCCCAGGAAAGGAUAACAAGAUGAUCAACAUGAUGUCCUUCCAAAAAAGCCUGUCUAUAGCUUGCUUAGAGUGGAACACUGGAAAUCCAUGGAAAGAAUACUCAUGAUCAAGAGAGUCAGGUCCAGGUCCAGCUCUACACUUAGCACGUGUGGGACAAUUUUCUGUACCUCUCUGGGUCUCCGUUUUCACUUCUGCAAAAUAAGAAUAAUAAUCCCUGCCCUUUCUGCUUUAUAGGAUUUUUGAAAUAAUUAAAUGAAUAAUGAAAGUGAAAAAGCUCAGAGAAUUGUAAAGGUGGCAUGGUAUAAGAGGUUUUUCUUUUUCAUUAUAAAAGUGGACAGUAAUAAAAUGAGUUCCAUUUCAGAUCUUUAAAGAUUGAGUCACACUAUCCAUCAUAUGUUCAUUUAGAUUCUAAAUUGAUUUUUUCUAAGAGGCAUUAUGUAUGUUUAAACUGCACUUCAUGUACUUUUUUAAUCAGCCACACUGAAUGUCUUGCAGUCCACUCUGGCAGAAAUAAUUCAUGGCCAUUGUCAUUACUUCAAUAAACAAUGCUUUGAGGGCUUAAAACACCACUGAAGGUAGAAGGGAUAUUUGCCAAGGAAUCCUUUGGUCCAUAAUCUCCCCAAUUGGCUCCUUGUGCAGUUAUAUGAAUGGGCAAAAGGACAAGGUUCUUGGAUCUGCGACGUCUGAACUGACUCCUGCCAAGUGGCAGGGACAAUUUUAGUGCCGCUGAGAAUCUGACUGCUGUUUCCGCCUACUCCCGCCUUCCUCCUUCCUCCUGUCCUUGAGCUCGCAGAUGCUGCCUGCCUUCUGCUCUUUCCUUUACCAGUUUCUUGCAUUUCCAUGUCUCCUUGCACCCGUUUUCCUCACUCCAGAUUCUCAUUAGUGAGUUUUCCUCUUUAUCCCUCCCCCACCCCAUACACACAGUCACAGAUUACUCGGUGUCCCCAGUGGGUCUGUGCUCAUCCAAUGAACAUGGACAGGCACAGUCUGGGAGCAGCAGGGGCAAUUUUCCUUCUCUGAGCCCUCAUGAUGCUAACGAGAAGAACCCUUUCCAAUGGGACCAGGUCUUCACUCUCCUUUCCGUCUUCUCCUUGGACUUCCCUGGACUUCAUCCUUCAAUGAACUCGGCACCCAGUCUGUCCCUUCCUUUCUACCCAUUCACCCAAAUACACUCAAGUGAACUUCCUUAAUAUUAAAUCUGACCAUGCCACUUCUAGAAUGCCCCAGUAACUCCAGAUAAAAUCUACAUUCCUCAGCUUCACUUUCUUUCUUUUAAAUAUAUUUUUUAGUUGUCAGUGGACCUUUUAUUUAUUUAUAUGUGGUGCUAAGAAUUGAACCCAGUGCCUCACACAUGCUAGGCAAGCGCUCUACCACUCAGCCACAACCCCAGCCCCUCAGCUCUACUUUCAGGAUUGCCUAUCAUUUGGCUCCCACUCAGUGUUCCAGACUGGCUCCUCGUCAGCUACCCCUGGAGCACACACUCAAUGUCAACCCUUGAUGUCAUUGCAAGUGAAUGAUUGAGUGAAGGCUGGAAGCUCAGCAUUGAGGUGAAGGGUAGUACAGUAGAAAGGGUAGGGGUUCGGGGUUAGGACUGUGGUAAGGCCUCAGCUAUUUAUUUAUGGUAUUGUGGCCUGCUUUCUGUAUGUAUUGGAAAAUCUUAUGUCCUUCCACACGGGGCUUGGAUUAGGGAAAGGGAGGGAUUUACCUUGGACACAAAAAUUAAGGGGGUAUUAAAAAAUUAAAUGAUCAAAAAAAAAAUCUUAAUAUGCUGUUUUAGUAAAACUAAAGUUAAUUUUAAAAAUGAUUCGUAAUAAAAAAGUUUCAAGAUUGUAAAUAAAGCCAGUAUCUGACUCUGCUCUUACCAUCCUGCCUCUCUCACUUUACCGGGCCCUCCUCACAG